Ataeniobius toweri is the source of this 73-nucleotide non-coding RNA. Lineage: Eukaryota; Metazoa; Chordata; Actinopteri; Cyprinodontiformes; Goodeidae. The record is from the annotation of a GenBank genome assembly.
UGCAUGGUGGCGCAGAUGGUAGCACUGUUGCCUUGCAGCGAGAAGGUCCUGGGUUCGAUUCCCAUGCAUGCGU